Molecule: long non-coding RNA, 196 nt
Organism: Eutrema salsugineum
Lineage: Eukaryota; Viridiplantae; Streptophyta; Magnoliopsida; Brassicales; Brassicaceae
Exons: 3
Source: RefSeq, a predicted model, not a curated record
AUGGUUCAUCAAGCAGAGUCAGAUGGCAUGUUUUUGACGAGUGUAUCACAUAUACAAAGGUUAACUUGGGAGACAAUAAAGAGCUGAUGUUGGAAGCAAUCAAGCAUUCUUUGCAGUGCAAAUGCAAGGGAUAUGAUGGAGUAAUGAUCGUUGGUUUUGAUGACUUCAAUGGGAAGAUGGCUUGUAUUUGAUGGUG